GAUUAAAGGGCCGCAGUAGCCUGACUGUGCUAAGGUAGCAUAAUCAUUAGGUUUUUAAUUGGGAUCUGGAAUGAAUGAGUGAAUGGGGAGUAGCUGUCUUAGGGGUUGGAUUUGAAUUUAAAAUUUUAGUAAUAAUGCUGGAAUUAAUCUGUGGGACGAUAAGACCCUAUAAAGCUUUAUUUGUAGUGUUUUGGUAUUUUUACUAAGUUGAGAUUAAUAUGAAUUUAACUGGGGCGGUUAGUAAAAUUACAGUUUGUAAAUAGAAAAUAUUGAUCCAUCUAUGAUGAGAUUAGAUUAAGUUACUUUAGGGAUAACAGCAUAAUAUACCUAUGGAGUUCUAAUCGAAGGGUAUGAUUGUGACCUCGAUGUUGAAUUAAUUUUAUUAUACGGUGAAGAAGCUGUAUGAGUUAGUCUGUUCGACUAUUGAAUAGUUACGUGAUUUGAGUUCAAACCGGUUUGAG
Molecule: ribosomal RNA, 461 nt
Filed under: Psathyropus sp. HTS-2018
Lineage: Eukaryota; Metazoa; Arthropoda; Arachnida; Opiliones; Sclerosomatidae
Description: partial 16S rRNA
Rfam family: Bacterial large subunit ribosomal RNA
Source: RNAcentral